AGUGAACGCUGGCGGUAGGCCUAACACAUGCAAGUCGAACGGCAGCACAGUAAGAGCUUGCUCUUACGGGUGGCGAGUGGCGGACGGGUGAGGAAUACAUCGGAAUCUACUUUUUCGUGGGGGAUAACGUAGGGAAACUUACGCUAAUACCGCAUACGACCUACGGGUGAAAGCAGGGGAUCUUCGGACCUUGCGCGAUUGAAUAAGCCGAAGUCGGAUUAGCUAGUUGGCGGGGUAAAGGCCCACCAAGGCGACGAUCCGUAGCUGGUCUGAGAGGAUGAUCAGCCACACUGGAACUGAGACACGGUCCAGACUCCUGCGGGAGGCAGCAGUGGGGAAUAUUGGACAAUGGGCGCAAGCCUGAUCCAGCCAUACCGCGUGGGUGAAGAAGGCCUUCGGGUUGUAAAGCCCUUUUGUUGGGAAAGAAAAGCAGCAGGUUAAUACCCCGCUGUUCUGACGGUACCCAAAGAAUAAGCACCGGCUAACUUCGUG
This 492-nucleotide ribosomal RNA is filed under the name uncultured bacterium. RNAcentral's name for it is "partial 16S ribosomal RNA". It matches the Rfam family "Bacterial small subunit ribosomal RNA", at positions 29 to 507 of the family's 1533-position model. The record is from RNAcentral.